CAGGUUCGUUUUCUCACUUUUGCACCGUUUAAAAUUAAUUUUACUCCGAUUACAUUACUCUUUGAUGAAUUAUUUUUCAUUUGAACCGAUUAAAAUGCGUUUUCAUUGAGUUUUUCUACAGUUUUGCUCAUGUCCUUAGGCAGCAUUCUUGGACGGUGAUUUCUUGCGUUUUGCACUCCUGCAAUUCCCUCCACUACAUUAUCAAAAC
RNAcentral lists this long non-coding RNA (208 nucleotides) under Vigna radiata. RNAcentral describes it as "long non-coding RNA (VRAD_LNC006298)". The record is from RNAcentral. Lineage: Eukaryota; Viridiplantae; Streptophyta; Magnoliopsida; Fabales; Fabaceae.